This 433-nucleotide ribosomal RNA is filed under the name uncultured Anaerovorax sp. RNAcentral describes it as "bacterial SSU rRNA". It matches the Rfam family "Bacterial small subunit ribosomal RNA", at positions 341 to 792 of the family's 1533-position model. Lineage: Bacteria; Bacillati; Bacillota; Clostridia; Peptostreptococcales; Anaerovoracaceae. The record is from RNAcentral.
ACGGGAGGCAGCAGUGGGGAAUAUUGCACAAUGGGGGAAACCCUGAUGCAGCAACGCCGCGUGAAGGAUGAAGGCCUUUGGGUCGUAAACUUCUGUCCUUGAGGAAGAUAAUGACGGUACUCUUGGAGGAAGCCCCGGCUAACUACGUGCCAGCAGCCGCGGUAAUACGUAGGGGGCAAGCGUUAUCCGGAAUUAUUGGGCGUAAAGGGUGCGUAGGCGGUUUUUUAAGCGCGGGGUGAAAGGCAAUGGCUUAACCGUUGUUAGCCCUGCGAGCUGGGAGACUUGAGUGCUGGAGAGGAAAGCGGAAUUCCUAGUGUAGCGGUGAAAUGCGUAGAUAUUAGGAGGAACACCAGUGGCGAAGGCGGCUUUCUGGACAGUAACUGACGCUGAGGCACGAAAGUGUGGGGAGCAAACAGGAUUAGGUACCCUGGUA